Non-coding RNA from Misgurnus anguillicaudatus (oriental weatherfish), 2997 nucleotides. Lineage: Eukaryota; Metazoa; Chordata; Actinopteri; Cypriniformes; Cobitidae. The record is from RefSeq and is a predicted model, not a curated record.
AUGAAUACAAGGCUUCAGAAAUAACACUUAACAUUGUGUCUUUGCGUCUGAUGACUCUAUCAGUAACUAAAAGAAAAACACUGAGGGUUAAAUGUUACUAAAAACAGCGUCAAUAGACACAGAGCUGUGCGUCACUAUAAGUUUCCAGUGUGAGCACAUAGUUUUCAAUUGUGUAUCUUCGUCGCUUAGUGGUGUAAAAGGUUAUUUACACAUGCUGAUAAACCUGUAGACCUGGUUCUGUUUGCAGGCACCUGACCGUACAACUGCAUUUUAUAAAUCACAACACUCAAGAAACAAACACAGCAGGAAAAACACACCACGAUGUUGUACUUAAUGGGGAUUGUUUUGGGCCUCAUUGGCAUUAUAAUGUGCAUGUCAAAUGGUCUAAAUCAGAAAACCACCAAAGGUGUUCCAGAAAAAAACCUGUUCUACAUAAAUAAGUGGAGGAUGAAUGAACAGGAGCUUCUCCUCGUGACCAGACUUCUUUCUGUUGGGCUGGUGGAUGCUGAUCCAAACACUCUUCAUCAUAUCAAAGAAUACAGAGAUCUGAGAGGAAGUUCAACUUGAGAAGGCACGUGUCUUUCAGAAAACACCUAACCCGCAUGUAGCCUACAUGUGAUAGGAAACAAUGAGAACAAUUUCUCUUCUUUACUGGUUAUUGGCACUCAAGGAAACUUGUGCUGAAAAUCCAAACCUGUAAAACGUGAUGAAUUGCUCAGAACUUUUUCCUUAUCUACAAGGAUGAUCCAACAUCUGGAUGAUCUGUCCUGGAAGACUCCAGUGGAAUGAUGAACCAAGCGGAUUUACUUACUUAGGUCUCCUGUUUGAUUUUAUUUUUCCGGUCACAGCAAUCUCACAUAUAAGAGAAGCUGAAGAGAUCUCAGCAAUGUCUCAAAUUGUUUUCAUGUUGCCAAAAUAUAUAAAAUGUCCUCUGAAGCUGGAUAGAUGUUGAAGCUGUCGAUCAUAAGCAAAAAUCAUCCAAAAAUAGUACAACUACAAACUUAACAAAAAUAGGGGAAAACAGUUAAUUAAUAGGGAUUCUGUCCUAAAAAUAAUAAUCUGACUUGAAGAGGGGUCGUUUAAAAAAGCUUUACCAAUGAACACCGAAAGAGGGCAGCAUGCACACCACAUUUUGGCAAACACAUAAACGUGGAAAUAAUCGAACCAACGUGUUUUUUUAUUUCCUCAGGUUGCAAUUCUAAUGAAACUGUAUUUAAUCUUUUUUAAUAUUGUCCAUUUACUAAGAUGUUUUGGCAAGAUGUUUUGGAAUUUAUUAGGAAUUAAAUUUUAUGUUAUAAUGAAUGUGAGUUGUUUUGGAAGAAUGUGGUAGGCUUAGGUUUAGUAGAUUAUGAUAAAUCUGAAAAAGAUUUUUUUUUAUUAUUAAUCUGAUAUUGCUACUUGCUAAGUUCCACAUUCAUAAAUCUAAGUGUUUGAAAACACUUUAUUAUCAAAAUGUCUGAGAACAAAAUGUUUGGUUUAUAUUUAAUAUUUAAGUACAUUACACAUCUAAUAUUUUUUUACUUAAGUAAAAAGUACUUUCAUACCUUUACUCAAGAAAAGUAAAGUACACAAUUUUUAUGUAAUUAGGUAUUAAAUCAAUAUUAAUAUUCAAUAUAAAAGGAAUACACAGUAUGAUUAUAUGCUUUAGAAUGUAGUGAACAUUUUUUUAGUAAAGUAAUUUUUUUCCCCAAGACAAACACUCUGAUAAAGCACAGAUGCUUGGAAAAUUUACUUAAAAUACUUAAGUAGUGUCCGCCUCGGUGAUUAACACAUUUAAUUAAUAUAUUUCUCCUCUGGUUGUUCUGUUUUCUUUCUUUUUUGUUGUUUUUCUUGUUGUUGUUAUCAUUUGUCAUUAUUUGUUGCCUGUACAUUUUGAGCAUCAAAGAAUAAAAAGAAAUCAAAGUCUUUUUAAGAGUAAUAUUAUCUCUGAUAGAACUUAUUGAUACAUUUUAGAUAACUUAUAAUGAAAAUAAUUGCUUAACAUGCUUUAAGUGAUUAAUCUAUUAUAUUUUUAUAUUUUUCUUUCUACCAUGUGUCUAAACAAAAAAAAAUCUUUUUACAGACUGUGAUAUACAUCAAGUAUAAGAUGUUCAUUCAUUUUGGUUUUCUGUUCUUAAGAAGGUGCAAGUUAAAAAAAUGGCCUCAAACCUACUGUUAGAGACCAUACUUUCUCUUUCACUUUCCACUGGAAACAACUGACAAACCUUUCAGAGGUAAUUUUUUUUAAAAUCUCAAACAAGGGUGUAAAGACAAAAUCUGCAAAAACAUUUUAUAGGAGGUUGUUAUCUGAAGGAGUUUGGGAUAAUCACGCAGUACGUCAAGAAUAUUAACAAUUAUAAAGUUAACUCUUAUUCUUAGUAUUAUCCAUAAAUUGUUGUAAUAUGCUCAUGACUUGCAAAUGUAAUGUUCAGUUACCUGAAGUAAUAUGACUCAUGGGUUUUGUUUUGUUUUCUCAUUUCUCACAAAUAAAUUUCUUAUAUAUGGUCAUGUGGUCAUACAUCAUGUAAUUAAAUAGUCCUGGCUUAAACUAAUCCCUGUUUGGGAAACCACCCCUAUAAGUAUAAUCUUGAGUAACUGAAGAUUUUUUCAUUUAAAAAACUGCAUCAAAUGUGCCAGGUUAAGACACAGACUUGUGAAUUAUUGUACGUUUUUAAGUAUCAGUAUGAAGAAAGCUCAUGACUGUUGUUUCUUGUUUAGCUUUAUCAUUUGCUGAUAUCUAAACCUGUAGCCCCGGAUUGCAUGACUCUAAACAAAAAAUUUAAAAAACAAUCAUGUCCGAUGAUCUGAAGGUUAUUUUGUUGUUUUUAUUCGUCGUAAUUGUCAUUGCUAUACUGUCAGGUACAUGCUUGAAAUGUAAGGCACAAGGUAUAGAGCUUGAGGUGGAACCUCCUUCAAGAAGGUCCAGGUCCAGCAUCAAAGCAGAGUAACAUCACUAAUGAGUUCAGAUACAGAACAAGUACAUCAUGAUGAGGAUGCUCAGAUCUUUCUUGAAACAUG